Molecule: long non-coding RNA, 1392 nt
Organism: Triticum dicoccoides
Lineage: Eukaryota; Viridiplantae; Streptophyta; Magnoliopsida; Poales; Poaceae
Exons: 9
Source: RefSeq, a predicted model, not a curated record
UCUGUUUCUUCGUCGGAACCGAAAGCCUCCCCAAACCCCUGCGGGAGUGAGCGCUGCGCUCGAGCUCCUCGCCGCGCCGUCGCGUUGGCCGGUGGAAAUGACGCCCACAAAAGGCGAAUCGAGCAGUGAAAUCCAGCAUUUUACGAGAGGGAGAGAGCUAGAGAGAAAGAGAGAGGGAGGAAGAGCAGCGUCGACGCAGGCGGCGUCCAUCGCCGAACGCCGAGUUGGAGCACCACCAGGAGAUUUCCUCCAGGCUCCGCCGCCUCCGCCGCCUCCUCCGCCUCCUCCGCCGCCGGCGCCUCCUCCUCCGCCUCCACCGCCGCCGGCGCCUCCUCCUCCGCCUCCUCCCUCCCCCUGCCCCCCCCUCCACAUCGAGCAGUGAUGAGGAACUGGAGGAUUAUCGUAGCAGUUUGUUUGCUGCUUCCUGUUCUAGCCGCUGGCUACCAUAGGUUUUCGACUGUAGAAGAGGCCAACGCAGCGCUGCGGCGCGACCAUAUCGCCACCGGCAUCGGCCAUACGCUGGAGCAAAUGCAGCGGGGCCAGGGGAAUCUUGGAUUUAGCUCAUACUUUGGUUUUGUUUUUGCUUUCUACUCCAUGUCGGUCCUGGUCGUGGCUGGAGUGUGGGAUCACUUAACAGCAUUGUUUGGAGCAGUUGACGGCGAAUAUAUACUUGCAUUUACCACGAUGCUUGUUAUCUCCGGUUUUAUCGUGGCGACCAGCAUCCGCUUCAUGUUACAUAGUCUAGCACCAUGAUCGCUGACACCACAAAGCGCCUCUGCAAUGUGUAAGCCUGCGGUGCGCUGCGAUACCUGGAUGUCGAUGCACAGUAGAGAAAGAUCAGAGCGGUGUCAGAUGUCACACAGUUGAUUACCAUGAUUGCGAGGCAGAGCUUGUUCCUGUCCUGUACAUAGGUCAGUGCAGUUCCCAUUUCGGGAGGAAUCGGGUGGCGAUGGCUUACGGUCGUCAUGACUCUGGUUGAGGUCUGUUGCUGCCGUCGAUUCUUCCUCAUGUGGAAUUGUGCCUGGACUAUGCUAGCGUUCUUCUUUCAGCGGCUGCGCCAUUGAUGUUCCUACUGGGCUGCCUGUUCUGUUGACUCUGCCAUUGUCAGGCCUUGUCUUCGACUUCCCGAGUCCGUUCUGUUGCCAGCUUUGUUGACUCACGACUAUUGCCAGGUAGGAUAUGUGUGUGUGUAUUACACUGUCAGCUGUGGCUUCUCUGUUCGCAGUUAGGGGCCUUGACGUGUAGCUUUUAGUUUCCUUCAUUGCUCGUGCAUUUGUUUGUUUUAUUCCUUGGGUUGUAUCUGUAUUUGGUGCCUAGCUAUUGUAUAACCGGCGAUGCCAUGAAAUAAAUGAUGAAUUGUUUAUAGUUGUGUCAGAUAUUUACUUUCCCUUA